This 515-nucleotide ribosomal RNA is filed under the name uncultured Stackebrandtia sp. RNAcentral's name for it is "bacterial SSU rRNA". It matches the Rfam family "Bacterial small subunit ribosomal RNA", at positions 104 to 611 of the family's 1533-position model. The record is from RNAcentral. Lineage: Bacteria; Bacillati; Actinomycetota; Actinomycetes; Glycomycetales; Glycomycetaceae.
GGGUGAGGAUUACAUGGGUAACCUACCCUCGAGUGGGGAAUAACCAGCCGAAAGGUUGGCUAAUACCGCGUACGCUUCCGGGACUGCGGUUUCGGAAGGAAAGCGAUACCGUGGGUAUCGCGCUCUUGGAUGGGCUCAUGCCCUAUCAGCUUGUUGGUGAGGUAACGGCUCACCAAGGCUUCGACGGGUAGCUGAUCUGAGAGGAUGAUCAGCCACACUGGCACUGCGACACGGGCCAGACUCCUACGGGAGGCAGCAGUAAGGAAUAUUGCGCAAUGGGCGAAAGCCUGACGCAGCGACGCCGCGUGGGGGAUGAAGGUCUUCGGAUUGUAAACCCCUUUCGGGAGGGAAGAUGGGAUGGGGUAACCCAUUCGGACGGUACCUCCAGAAGCAGCCACGGCUAACUUCGUGCCAGCAGCCGCGGUAAUACGAAGGUGGCAAGCGUUGUUCGGAUUUACUGGGCGUACAGGGAGCGUAGGCGGUUGGAUAAGCCCUCCGUGAAAUCUCCAGGCUUA